ACGAGUUAGGGUCUUCCAGGCCCGACCUCCCAACCCUAUGUUUACUGUACCAUUGUUGCUUCGGUGGGUCCGUCUAACGACCGCCGGGGGACCGCCGCGAGGCCCCCCUGGCCAGCGCCCGCCGAUAGCCAAACUUAAACCCUUAUGAAUCGUGUCUUAUGUCUAAAUCAUGAUUAAAAAUCAAAACA
This 188-nucleotide unclassified non-coding RNA is filed under the name uncultured fungus. Its description in RNAcentral is "sequence contains ITS1, 5.8S rRNA gene". The record is from RNAcentral. Lineage: Eukaryota; Fungi.